UAUCACUAGGGGUGCCGACUUUUAGUCAGCUGAGAUCAUACCCUUAACCUGAUCCAGGUAAUGCUGGCGGAGGUAAGUGCUUUAUA
This 86-nucleotide non-coding RNA is filed under the name uncultured Anaerococcus sp. The record is from RNAcentral. Lineage: Bacteria; Bacillati; Bacillota; Tissierellia; Tissierellales; Peptoniphilaceae.